Molecule: long non-coding RNA, 905 nt
Filed under: Homo sapiens (human)
Lineage: Eukaryota; Metazoa; Chordata; Mammalia; Primates; Hominidae
Description: PREDICTED lncRNA (TCONS_00175157)
Source: RNAcentral
GAGAAGGGUGAGCAGAGGUCCGAGGGCACUGCGGUGAGGCCAGGCUGCAGAUGGAGCUGGGGCUCGAGCUCAGGAGCUGGUCUUCCCUGCUGGGGCCGCGACGCCUGCCGCUUUCCUGCCGGCUCUCUGGGUCAAGGCCUGGAAAGGCUUUCUUCUCGGGCUUCUCAUCAGCUUAUUGGCCCAUUUAGCCAGGGCAAAGGUGCAUGACAACUCUGAGCAAGUCAAAACAACCGUCAGCAGCGGGAAACCUCGAUGAACAAACACCGGGAGAGUGCAUUCCCAGGGGAGUUCCAGGAGGCCCAUGGCCCCUCCUGUACAGCCCUCCACCGCCCAGAGCCUUCCAGCGCCGUGUCUUCCCCUUGGAGCAUCUGGAGGCCCCAGACAGCACCCGCCUGACGUUCAGCAGAGGGGGAGACCGAGGCCUGCAGCAGAGUGUUUUGUCAGAUGCUGCUCCCUGACCGGGAGUGAGAGGGAACCCACCUAGAGUUUCUGCAGAUCCUGCUUUGUGACUUCGAGUGAAGUGUGGAAGCGCUGGAAGCACUUAGACCCUGCCUGUGCCGCAGACCCCUGGGAGGCACCAACACCCCGGAUCGAGAAGCCCGAUGGGAAAGAAUGUCUGGGAAGGACGUCAUGCCCGAGGCUUGCGUGACAGUUUCCACUCACAGUGCGCUCACUCUGAACCUCUGUGCACACGAUGGGCCUGCAUCUCUUCCCACUAUCUGCUAGGAAACACGAGGGGAAGGAAAUGACCGCAGAAGGGAGUGCACCGUGGGGGCAGGAGGUGCUGCGGCCAAUGGGCAGUGCUGGGAGAUGAAACCAACAGCGGCGAUUGCCCCAGAAAGAACUUGGCGCUGCUAAGGCAAUGGCGGCCCGAAAGAGGCCCCUGACGCAUGAGGAGCGGCCGC